CACGCUUUUGCACAGAAGACCUGAUACGCACAGUGAGGCAGGCAGAGCAGAAGGUCCUUCUGCUGGGAGCACCGCCCGCAGCAGGCAGUGGAGGCAGCGCCGACGCAGGACACGACCUGCAUCAUCUGCAUGGAGCCCGUGGGGGACAGCAGGUCGUACUGCAUCAUGGUGUGCCGAGCCUGCCAACAAGCCUGGUUCCACCAGGCCUGCAUCCAGGAACAGGCCAUGCAUGCCGGCAUUUAUUGCUUCCAGUGCCCCGUCUGCCGAGACUGGACCAGGUUUAUUCCAGACAUGCUCAUUUUGGGGAUCCGAAUCCCAUUCAG
This 323-nucleotide long non-coding RNA is filed under the name Gallus gallus (chicken). RNAcentral describes it as "lncRNA (ENSGALG00010028264.1)". The record is from RNAcentral. Lineage: Eukaryota; Metazoa; Chordata; Aves; Galliformes; Phasianidae.